RNAcentral lists this ribosomal RNA (232 nucleotides) under uncultured bacterium. RNAcentral's name for it is "partial 16S ribosomal RNA". It matches the Rfam family "Bacterial small subunit ribosomal RNA", at positions 15 to 244 of the family's 1533-position model. The record is from RNAcentral.
GAUCCUGGCUCAGGAUGAACGCUGGCGGCGCGCCUAACACAUGCAAGUCGAACGGACAAUGAAGAGCUUGCUUUUCAAAGUUAGUGGCGGACGGGUGAGUAACGCGUGGGUAACCUGCCUUAUACAGGGGGAUAACAGUUAGAAAUGACUGCUAAUACCGCAUAAGCGCACAGGAUUGCAUGAUCUGGUGUGAAAAACUCCGGUGGUAUAAGAUGGACCCGCGUCUGAUUAG